RNAcentral lists this non-coding RNA (241 nucleotides) under Physcomitrium patens. The record is from RNAcentral. Lineage: Eukaryota; Viridiplantae; Streptophyta; Bryopsida; Funariales; Funariaceae.
AGGGACCAAUUCCAGAGCUGGGGAGGCCUAAUCGUGGGUGUGGGGUUAUCUUCUCGCCCUCAACCCUAAACCUGGUCGCAAUCUGUGCCUAUUCUUGAAGGAGAGUUUUUCCAGUGGCUUACUCCUCAAACCAAAGCCCUGAUGCCAGGGUCUCACUGCUUCGGUCUAACGAUGAGCCUGUGGGGUGAGAGUGUCUCGGCACUUCUCACGAGUCCCGGGCAAUCGGGUCGCCUCCUUUUAC